GACGAACGCUGGCGGCGUGCCUAAUACAUGCAAGUCGAGCGGACCAAAGGGAGCUUGCUCCUGGAGGUUAGCGGCGAACGGGUGAGUAACACGUGGGCAACCUGCCUGUAAGGACUGGGAUAACAUCGAGAAAUCGGUGCUAAUACCGGAUAAUAAAAAGAACUGCAUGGUUCUUUUUUGAAAGAUGGUUUCGGCUAUCACUUACAGAUGGGCCCGCGGCGCAUUAGCUAGUUGGUGAGGUAACGGCUCACCAAGGCAACGAUGCGUAGCCGACCUGAGAGGGUGAUCGGCCACACUGGGACUGAGACACGGCCCAGACUCCUACGGGAGGCAGCAGUAGGGAAUCUUCCGCAAUGGACGAAAGUCUGACGGAGCAACGCCGCGUGAGUGAUGAAGGUUUUCGGAUCGUAAAACUCUGUUGUUAGGGAAGAACAAGUG
RNAcentral lists this ribosomal RNA (438 nucleotides) under uncultured bacterium. RNAcentral describes it as "bacterial SSU rRNA". It matches the Rfam family "Bacterial small subunit ribosomal RNA", at positions 28 to 455 of the family's 1533-position model. The record is from RNAcentral.